CCUACGGGAGGCAGCAGUGAGGAAUAUUGGUCAAUGGACGCAAGUCUGAACCAGCCAUGCCGCGUGGAGGAUGAAGGCCCUCUGGGUUGUAAACUUCUUUUAUUGGGGAAGAAACCUCUUUUUUCUAAAGGAGCCGACGGUACCCGAUGAAUAAGCACCGGCUAACUCCGUGCCAGCAGCCGCGGUAAUACGGAGGGUGCAAGCGUUAUCCGGAUUUACUGGGUUUAAAGGGUGUGUAGGCGGGCUUUUAAGUCAGUGGUGAAAUCCUGGGGCUCAACCCCAGAACUGCCAUUGAUACUAUUGGUCUUGAAUUUUGUUGAGGUGGGCGGAAUAUAUCAUGUAGCGGUGAAAUGCUUAGAUAUGAUAUAGAACACCGAUUGCGAAGGCAGCUCACUAAGCAAGUAUUGACGCUGAGGCACGAAAGCGUGGGGAUCAAACAG
Molecule: ribosomal RNA, 440 nt
Filed under: uncultured bacterium
Lineage: Bacteria
Description: bacterial SSU rRNA
Rfam family: Bacterial small subunit ribosomal RNA
Source: RNAcentral